GGCUGGGUCCUGUGCAACGGUGCGCCGUGAACCUGGUCAGGUCCGGAAGGAAGCAGCCAUAAGCGGUUGCACCGUGUGCCGCAGGAGUGCCUGGCUGGAGCU
Molecule: signal recognition particle RNA, 102 nt
Filed under: Pseudothermotoga thermarum DSM 5069
Lineage: Bacteria; Thermotogati; Thermotogota; Thermotogae; Thermotogales; Thermotogaceae
Description: RNA component of signal recognition particle
Rfam family: Bacterial small signal recognition particle RNA
About the family: The signal recognition particle (SRP) is a universally conserved ribonucleoprotein involved in the co-translational targeting of proteins to membranes. Archaeal SRP consists of a 7S RNA and homologues of the eukaryotic SRP19 and SRP54 proteins.
Source: RNAcentral